This 497-nucleotide ribosomal RNA is filed under the name uncultured bacterium. RNAcentral's name for it is "partial 16S ribosomal RNA". It matches the Rfam family "Bacterial small subunit ribosomal RNA", at positions 28 to 507 of the family's 1533-position model. The record is from RNAcentral.
GAUGAACGCUGGCGGCGUGCCUAAUACAUGCAAGUCGAGCGAACAGACGAGGAGCUUGCUCCUCUGACGUUAGCGGCGGACGGGUGAGUAACACGUGGAUAACCUACCUAUAAGACUGGGAUAACUUCGGGAAACCGGAGCUAAUACCGGAUAAUAUAUUGAACCGCAUGGUUCAAUAGUGAAAGACGGUUUUGCUGUCACUUAUAGAUGGAUCCGCGCCGCAUUAGCUAGUUGGUAAGGUAACGGCUUACCAAGGCGACGAUGCGUAGCCGACCUGAGAGGAUGAUCGGCCACACUGGAACUGAGACACGGCCCAGACUCCUACGGGAGGCAGCAGUAGGGAAUCUUCCGCAAUGGGCGAAAGCCUGACGGAGCAACGCCGCGUGAGUGAUGAAGGUCUUCGGAUCGUAAAACUCUGUUAUUAGGGAAGAACAAAUGUGUAAGUAACUAUGCACGUCUUGACGGUACCUAAUCAGAAAGCCACGGCUAACUACGUG